UAUAACAAUCGAAACCGCAUGGUUUUGAUUUGAAAGGCGCUUUCGGGUGUCGCUGAUGGAUGGACCCGCGGUGCAUUAGCUAGUUGGUGAGGUAACGGCUCACCAAGGCCACGAUGCAUAGCCGACCUGAGAGGGUGAUCGGCCACAUUGGGACUGAGACACGGCCCAAACUCCUACGGGAGGCAGCAGUAGGGAAUCUUCGGCAAUGGACGAAAGUCUGACCGAGCAACGCCGCGUGAGUGAAGAAGGUUUUCGGAUCGUAAAACUCUGUUGUUAGAGAAGAACAAGGAUGAGAGUAACUGUUCAUCCCUUGACGGUAUCUAACCAGAAAGCCACGGCUAACUACGUGCCAGCAGCCGCGGUAAUACGUAGGUGGCAAGCGUUGUCCGGAUUUAUUGGGCGUAAAGCGAGCGCAGGCGGUUUCUUAAGUCUGAUGUGAAAGCCCCCGGCUCAACCGGGGAGGGUCAUUGGAAACUGGGAGACUUGAGUGCAGAAGAGGAGAGUGGAAUUCCAUGUGUAGCGGUGAAAUGCGUAGAUAUAUGGAGGAACACCAGUGGCGAAGGCGGCUCUCUGGUCUGUAACUGACGCUGAGGCUCGAAAGCGUGGGGAGCAAACAGGAUUAGAUACCCUGGUAGUCCACGCCGUAAACGAUGAGUGCUAAGUGUUGGAGGGUUUCCGCCCUUCAGUGCUGCAGCUAACGCAUUAAGCACUCCGCCUGGGGAGUACGACCGCAAGGUUGAAACUCAAAGGAAUUGACGGGGGCCCGCACAAGCGGUGGAGCAUGUGGUUUAAUUCGAAGCAACGCGAAGAACCUUACCAGGUCUUGACAUCCUUUGACCACUCUAGAGAUAGAGCUUCCCCUUCGGGGGCAAAGUGACAGGUGGUGCAUGGUUGUCGUCAGCUCGUGUCGUGAGAUGUUGGGUUAAGUCCCGCAACGAGCGCAACCCUUAUUGUUAGUUGCCAUCAUUCAGUUGGGCACUCUAGCAAGACUGCCGGUGACAAACCGGAGGAAGGUGGGGAUGACGUCAAAUCAUCAUGCCCCUUAUGACCUGGGCUACACACGUGCUACAAUGGGAAGUACAACGAGUUGCGAAGUCGCGAGGCUAAGCUAAUCUCUUAAAGCUUCUCUCAGUUCGGAUUGCAGGCUGCAA
Molecule: ribosomal RNA, 1151 nt
Filed under: Enterococcus faecium
Lineage: Bacteria; Bacillati; Bacillota; Bacilli; Lactobacillales; Enterococcaceae
Description: bacterial SSU rRNA
Rfam family: Bacterial small subunit ribosomal RNA
Source: RNAcentral